UACAGAGGUCCCAAGCGUUGUUCGGAUUCAUUGGGCGUAAAGGGUGCGUAGGUGGCAUGGUAAGUCGGGUGUGAAAUCCCGGGGCUCAACCCCGGAACUGCACUCGAUACUACCGUGCUCGAGUACUGGAGAGGAGACUGGAAUUUACGGUGUAGCGGUGAAAUGCGUAGAUAUCGUAAGGAAGACCAGUGGCGAAGGCGGGUCUCUGGACAGUUCCUGACGCUGAGGCACGAAGGUCAGGGGAGCAAACGGG
This 253-nucleotide ribosomal RNA is filed under the name uncultured bacterium. RNAcentral's name for it is "partial 16S ribosomal RNA". It matches the Rfam family "Bacterial small subunit ribosomal RNA", at positions 524 to 776 of the family's 1533-position model. The record is from RNAcentral.